UACAGAGGCCUCGAGCGUUAGGCGGAAUCACUGGGCUUAAAAGCGUGUGUAGGCGGACUUCUAAGUACCUUGUGAAAUCCCACGGCUCACCCGUGGAACUGCUUGGUAUACUGGUCGUCUUGAGCCUUCUAGGGGCGAGUGGAACAAAUGGUGGAGCGGUGAAAUGCGUAGAUAUCAUUUGGAACGCCAAUGGUGAAAACAACUCGCUGGGGAAGUGCUGACGCUGAGACACGAAAGCCAGGGGAGCGAACGGG
RNAcentral lists this ribosomal RNA (254 nucleotides) under uncultured bacterium. RNAcentral describes it as "partial 16S ribosomal RNA". It matches the Rfam family "Bacterial small subunit ribosomal RNA", at positions 524 to 776 of the family's 1533-position model. The record is from RNAcentral.